Molecule: ribosomal RNA, 548 nt
Filed under: uncultured bacterium
Lineage: Bacteria
Description: bacterial SSU rRNA
Rfam family: Bacterial small subunit ribosomal RNA
Source: RNAcentral
AAUAGAUACCCUGGUAGUCCACGCCGUAAACGAUGAGUGCUAAGUGUUGGGGGUUUCCGCCCCUCAGUGCUGCAGCUAACGCAUUAAGCACUCCGCCUGGGGAGUACGGUCGCAAGACUGAAACUCAAAGGAAUUGACGGGGGCCCGCACAAGCGGUGGAGCAUGUGGUUUAAUUCGAAGCAACGCGAAGAACCUUACCAGGUCUUGACAUCCCGGUGACCACUAUGGAGACAUAGUUUCCCCUUCGGGGGCAACGGUGACAGGUGGUACAUGGUUGUCGUCAGCUCGUGUCGUGAGAUGUUGGGUUAAGUCCCGCAACGAGCGCAACCCUUAUUCUUAGUUGCCAUCAUUCAGUUGGGCACUCUAAGGAGACUGCCGGUGAUAAACCGGAGGAAGGUGGGGAUGACGUCAAAUCAUCAUGCCCCUUAUGACCUGGGCUACACACGUGCUACAAUGGACGGUACAAACGGUUGCCAACCCGCGAGGGGAGCUAAUCCGAUAAAACCGUUCUCAGUUCGGAUUGUAGGCUGCAACUCGCUACAUGAACG